AACAAAAACAUGUCCUUUUGUUUGUUUAUUUAAGGUUUGACCUGCCCACUGAAUUUUUGUUUUAAAUGGCCGCAGUAAUUUGACUGUGCAAAGGUAGCAUAAUCAUUAGUUUUUUAAUUGAAAGCUUGUAUGAAAGGUUGGACGAAAUAUAAUCUGUCUUUAUUUAAUUUAUUAUAGAAUUUAAUUUUUAAGUUAAAAAGCUUAAAUAUCAAUAAAAGACGAGAAGACCCUAUAAAUCUUUAUAUUAUUAUAUAAUUAUUAUAAUGAGGAUUUUUUUUUGUUUAUAAUUAUAUAUAUUAUUUUAUUGGGGUAAUGGGAUGAUUAAAAUAAUUCAUUUUGGUUUUUUACAUUUAUUUAUGGUUUUGAGAUCCAAAUUUUUUUGAUUAUAAGAUUAAGUUACUUUAGGGAUAACAGCGUAAUUUUUUUAAAGAGUUCAUAUCGAUAAAAAAGUUUGCGACCUCGAUGUU
Molecule: ribosomal RNA, 467 nt
Filed under: Madaglymbus sp. BI-2011
Lineage: Eukaryota; Metazoa; Arthropoda; Insecta; Coleoptera; Dytiscidae
Description: partial 16S ribosomal RNA
Source: RNAcentral